GUUUGCAACAACUAACCACGCCCCUCCCUCACCUUUCCUAUAAAAGGGCUUUGCUGAAAGCCUUCGUGGAGUUUUGGAUUUUUAAGGCAUGAGUCACCCAUCUCCUUGCAUGGACCUGCAAUAAAAUUUUCUCUGCUCCAAACUACGACAUUUUGGUAUUGUUUGUCCUCACUGUGUGUUGGGCACACAGACUUGCAUUCGAUAACAGUAUCUCACAACCCACUGACCAUUUCAACAGCCUUGAUUAUUCUCCUGGCUUUGUUCUCUCUACUCAAGUCCCUCAGAACUUGAAUAUUUGGGAAACAGCUAUGCUUUGCCAGGCGCUGUGGUGUGCACUGAACACAAUCUCCCUCCGUGCUGCUUUGAGAGCACCAUUUCCCGGCUCACGUCCCACUGCGUUGUCACUGGAGCUCAGAUUCCACAGCUGGUCACUGAGAGCUGUUGCUUCUCUUCUGCAAGCAUGCCUUACUUGUACCUCCAGCCCACAGACUCACGUGCAUCUUUUACCUGGAUUUUUUUCUGCUUUGCCUACCUUUCUCUGUAUUUUAAGGCACAGCUCAAAGUCAGCUUCUUCACGAACACCUCCUGAUCCCAGAAAUGGGAAGUGACACCUGCUGAACUUCUGUAGCUCUUGUAGUGGUUUCAACUACUCAUGUAAGGCUUUCCACAAUGGACUGGAGUAGUGCUUAUUUGUAUAUGUAUCAGGGAUCCAGCUUCACCUUAAAGUGCUUAUGAGCCACAAGAAGCCUGUUAAUCUUCAGAGGAGUCAGGCCCAGGGAGCUUGACUUAAUAAGGCCUUGGUGGAGAUGUGGGAGAGUGCCUAUAACUCAUGUAUCUUCUUUUCUAGAUCUGGAGCUCCUUCAGGGCAGAGACCAUGAUUCACCCAGCAAAGCAUGUGGUGUCCAGAAUAGUGUUUGACAGCAGUGGAUAUUUAGAGAAGAGACCAAGAGAUCAACUUCAGUUGCUUCCUAUGAAGAAUCUAUACGCUUCCUAUGAAGAAUCCUACCUAACAUUACGGAAUGAGUUCUCAAAAAUCUGCAUAGAAAAUUGGGGAUCCUUUCAGCUGCUACCUUCCUUGGAAUACCAGACUGGAGGAACUAAGAUGGGAAAUCAUGUGUCUCAGAGGAGAAGGGGUAGGGAGUGGAAGAGAGAAGCAGGGGCAGCGUGGGGAGGAGUUUGUUAAAUAAAUCUAUACAGACAGAAUUUUAAAAUACUUUAUACAUUAAACUAGUGCUUUAUAGCUUACAAAUUGCCUUUGUGUACUUUAUCUCAAUUACUCCUCACAGCAACCUGGUAAGGUAGACAGAGGCUACCUAUCUACUUAUCAGUAGGUAUUAAUUAUCUAUGAGACUACUAGCCCUGUUUCGCAGAUGAGGAACUUCUCUUGAAGGUGGUUAACUGGCAGGACUAGAGUCACAUCUUAGAAUCACAGAAUCAUAGCAUCACGGAGUUAGAAGGCACCUUAAUAGCAAUAACCUAAGGCAUCCUUCUCUCAGAGCUUGAAUCACCUUAAAAAAACCUCUGAGAAGAUUUCUUCUGAUCCCUAUUUGAAUUCUUCCAGUGACGAGUAACUCACUGCUCCUUGAGGCAAAUCCAUUAUUAAUACUGAGCUAAAAUCCUCUCCUUAUAGCUUUCAGCCCUUAAUUCAUUUCUGUCCUCAAGAACUUCACCAAAUUAAGGGAAAUUGUAAUUCCUCUUCUUUUCAAAAUUCGAAGGUAUUACUCUUGUCCACCUCUUGCAGAUUAAGCAUCUUACAUUCUUCCAACUGUUACUCAUGAUUACUCAUAAUGUGAUUACCUGGCACAGUGCCUGAAAUACACAGUGGAUACUCAGUGAAUGUUUGUUGAAUUGGUUCUGUGGCCUUGGUACUAUGUCCUGGUCCUGGCCUCUUUCCUUGACCACAAUUAGCCUCCAUGUUGUAAUCUGUUUCUCAUUUGUUUGUUUAUUUAAAUAAUAGAAAGGAAACAACAUAUAGUAUUUACUUUCAAACCACAAAGUCUUCAGAACAACUUGAAAACAUAAGCAAAAUUGCCCAAAUUUCAGACAGCUUUCAGUUAAUUUGUGAUAAUGGACUCAUUAUCUGACUUAACUGACCACUUCAGAGAUGUAUUCAUUGAGCAUCUCCUUAAGUAAGACAUCAAAUGGAGCAUUGUGGAGUGUGUUCAUAGAAUUAACUGGAAAGAUUCUAGUGAAGGCAGGGUUAAUUUGAGGUCUAACUGUAAGACCCUGCAUGAAUACAUUAUCCAACAGCACUGCUUUGCAUAUUAGAAAAAGUAGCACGCAAUUGUGGAUAAUUCUGGGCACCACCAAACUGAAAAAUGUGCUCUCUUCAAAAAUAAGCUCCAGU
Aethalodelphis obliquidens (Pacific white-sided dolphin) is the source of this 2347-nucleotide long non-coding RNA. RefSeq lists it as uncharacterized. NCBI's taxonomy places the organism in Eukaryota, Metazoa, Chordata, Mammalia, Artiodactyla, Delphinidae. The transcript has 3 exons. The record is from RefSeq and is a predicted model, not a curated record.